This is an RNA transcript of Oncorhynchus kisutch (coho salmon), 1550 nucleotides long. It is a transcript of the gene named CCAAT/enhancer-binding protein zeta-like, with no coding region annotated. The record is from RefSeq and is a predicted model, not a curated record. Lineage: Eukaryota; Metazoa; Chordata; Actinopteri; Salmoniformes; Salmonidae. The transcript has 6 exons.
AUACAUAUAAAUCCAAAUAGAACCCGGACAUUUCUUACAAAUAUAAGUAUGCCGUUUUAGAUUAAAAUAGCUAAUAUUGUUCUGAAGUUUUACUGAGUAUAGACAUCACAAGGAUUUUCUUUCAACAGGCAGUUACCGUACAUUGUUCUUCCAGGUCCUGUCGUAUUUCUACAUGCCGCUGUCAGCAUGGCACCGAAAGCAAAAGAACGUAAGGCGGCAGUAGCCAAAACAAAUUUAGUUCAUGUGAAGGACGAGUUUGAAAAUGACAACGAUGAAGGAGAGGAUGACGAAAAAGAAAACAUGUAUGGUGAUAGUCCUCAACCGGACGACGAAUUUAAUUUGGACGAGGUUUUGCGUUUGGGUGGAACCCGAACCUGGCUGGUGGCUUGGCUGGUGAUCUGGAUGAGAAGGUGUCCCUAGGCAGUUUGGAUGAGGAGGACUUUGGAGUUUAACUUGGGGAGGAGGGAGGGGCCUUCAUGGACAGCAUUGGAGAGGAUGAUGAGGAAGAUUCAGAUGAGAUGGAGGUUCCACACACAAGGCCAGGUUCUAAAGAGGAAGGCAUCAGCGGAUCUUGACUUCAGUGGUUCUUUAGGUUCCAAACCAGUGAAGAAAACGAAAGGAGGAAACAGCCAUGUUGGCAUCUGCUGAAGAGUUUGUGUAUAUGUUGGAUGAAAAUGCUUGUUCUAAGUUUGACAACAUUGGCAUGAAUGCUAUGGCCAACAAAGACAAAGCAGGCGUCAGGCAGCUCAAGUGGGAAGCCCAGAGAGACGACUGGGUCCGUGGCAGAGACAUCAAGACCCUAAUGAAGAAGGCCAUGUUUAACAAGAAGAAGCCCCAGUUUGGCAAACCAAGGGCUGGCAAAAAUACUUUCAAGAAGAAGUAAUACUUUCUGGACCUAAGAUUACUUAUGUUUGUGUUCACACACCUCUAUUCCUUCUUGGACCAAUCUUCAAGGUCUUUCUCUCGAAUCCCAUAAACCCCAGCAUAUUCGUUGGACUUGUAAUAAACUGGAAAGAGAGUGAUAGUGUCUCUCAGCAUUCAACACAUUUAAUCAGAUGAUGGUUCAGUGGGCAACAUGCCCACUGUAGCAAAAUGUUUUGCAACUGUUUCCACUAAUGAAUACACCGGUGUAUUGCCUCAAUCUAACCCUGUUGCCAGUUCCAGGUUGUACUGCCAAUCAUUGGAGAAACUACUAAAUACCUGUGAAAUGAUCUAUUCUCUGUAUAGCUAUUUUAACUCUGUAUUGUAUUUUGUAUAGGUUUAUACAAAAUGAAAACAGUAUACUAGGAGAUGUCUGGUUUGCAGUAAUUGUAACUGGGGGGAAAAGUGUAAUAAUAUCGGCUGAUUUCAUUGCUGUGCAGCUUGGAAUUGAGGACCAAUUCCUACAGUUUGUGUGUUUUGAACUGUCUACAGCCCUUACCUUCCAGGACAGAGGGAAGCAUGUUGUUCAUUCUGUUCCUGAAAUCUACAAACAGAACAUUUUGUUACAAAGGUGUACAUAGCCCAAGGUAGAGUCCAUGACGUCCUUUCUAUAUAAAAUGUAAAUAAUA